This 491-nucleotide ribosomal RNA is filed under the name uncultured bacterium. Its description in RNAcentral is "partial 16S ribosomal RNA". It matches the Rfam family "Bacterial small subunit ribosomal RNA", at positions 29 to 506 of the family's 1533-position model. The record is from RNAcentral.
AGUGAACGCUGGCGGUAGGCCUAACACAUGCAAGUCGAACGGCAGCACAGUAAGAGCUUGCUCUUACGGGUGGCGAGUGGCGGACGGGUGAGGAAUACAUCGGAAUCUACUUUUUCGUGGGGGAUAACGUAGGGAAACUUACGCUAAUACCGCAUACGACCUACGGGUGAAAGCAGGGGGUCUUCGGACCUUGCGCGAUUGAAUGAGCCGAUGUCGGAUUAGCUAGUUGGCGGGGUAAAGGCCCACCAAGGCGACGAUCCGUAGCUGGUCUGAGAGGAUGAUCGGCCACACUGGAACUGAGACACGGUCCAGACUCCUACGGGAGGCAGCAGUGGGGAAUAUUGGACAAUGGGCGCAAGCCUGAUCCAGCCAUACCGCGUGGGUGAAGAAGGCCUUCGGGUUGUAAAGCCCUUUUGUUGGGAAAGAAAAGCAGCAGGUUAAUACCCCGCUGUUCUGACGGUACCCAAAGAAUAAGCACCGGCUAACUUCGU